This 399-nucleotide ribosomal RNA is filed under the name uncultured bacterium. RNAcentral describes it as "partial 16S ribosomal RNA". It matches the Rfam family "Bacterial small subunit ribosomal RNA", at positions 360 to 774 of the family's 1533-position model. The record is from RNAcentral.
AAUAUUUCACAAUGGAGGGAACUCUGAUGCAGCAACGCCGCGAGAGUGAAGAAGGUUUUCGGAUCGUAAAACUCUGUCCUUGGGGAAGAAUAAAUGACGGUACCCAAUGAGGACGCCCCAGCUAACCACGUGCCAGCAGCCUGGGUAAUUCGCAGGGGGUGAGCGUUGUCCGGAAUUACUGGGCGUAAAGGGUACGUAGGCGGCUAUAUAAGUCAGGUGUGAAAUACCAGUGCUUAACACUGGAAUUGCAUUUGAAACUGUGUAGCUUGAGUGCAGGAGAGGAAAGUGGAAUUCCUAGUGUAGCGGUGAAAUGCGUAGAGAUUAGGAGGAACACCAGUGGCGAAGGCGACUUUCUGGACUGUAACUGACGCUGAGGUACGAAAGCGUGGGUAGCGAACA